Molecule: ribosomal RNA, 808 nt
Filed under: uncultured Acidobacteriota bacterium
Lineage: Bacteria; Pseudomonadati; Acidobacteriota
Description: bacterial SSU rRNA
Rfam family: Bacterial small subunit ribosomal RNA
Source: RNAcentral
UGCAAGUCGAGCGAGAAGCAGGAGCAAUCUUGUGAGUAAAGCGGCGUACGGGUGAGUAACACGUGGAUUAUCUACCUCUUUGUGGGGAAUAACCCUGGGAAACCGGGGCUAAUACCGCAUAAGUCCGAGAGGAGAAAGCAGCAAUGCGCAGAGAGAGGAGUCCGCGGCCGAUUAGUUAGUUGGCAGGGUAAAAGCCUACCAAGACAAAGAUCGGUAGCCGGCCUGAGAGGGCACACGGCCACACUGGCACUGAAACACGGGCCAGACUCCUACGGGAGGCAGCAGUGGGGAAUCUUGCACAAUGGGGGCAACCCUGAUGCAGCGACGCCGCGUGAGCGAUGAAGCCCUUCGGGGUGUAAAGCUCUUUCGGCAGGGAAGAUUAUGACGGUACCUGCAGAAGCAGCUGCGGCUAACUACGUGCCAGCAGCCGCGGUAAUACGUAGGCAGCAAGCGUUGUUCGGAGUUACUGGGCGUAAAGGGUGUGUAGGCGGUUUUCUAAGUCUGGUGUGAAAUCUCCCGGCUCAACUGGGAGGGUGCGCCGAAAACUGGAAGGCUAGAGUACUGGAUGGGUAAGUGGAAUUCCUGGUGUAGCGGUGAAAUGCGUAGAUAUCAGGAGGAACACCUGUGGUGUAGACGGCUUACUGGACAGUAACUGACGCUGAGACACGAAAGCGUGGGUAGCAAACAGGAUUAGAUACCCUGGUAGUCCACGCCCUAAACGAUGCAUAUUUGGUGUGGGCCAUUCAUUUGGUCUGUGCCGGAGCUAACGCGUUAAAUAUGCCGCCUGGGGAGUACGGUCGCAAGGCUG